Molecule: ribosomal RNA, 316 nt
Filed under: uncultured cyanobacterium
Lineage: Bacteria; Bacillati; Cyanobacteriota
Description: bacterial SSU rRNA
Rfam family: Bacterial small subunit ribosomal RNA
Source: RNAcentral
UUAGNUAGUUGGUGGGGUAAGGGCGCACCAAGGCGACGAUCAGUAGCUGGUCUGAGAGGAUGAUCAGCCACACUGGGACUGAGACACGGCCCAGACUCCUACGGGAGGCAGCAGUGGGGAAUUUUCCGCAAUGGGCGAAAGCCUGACGGAGCAACGCCGCGUGAGGGAUGAAGGCCUCUGGGCUGUAAACCUCUUUUUUCAAGGAAGAAGAUCUGACGGUACUUGAUGAAUAAGCCACGGCUAAUUCCGUGCCAGCAGCCGCGGUAAUACGGGAGUGGNAAGCGUUAUCCNGAAUUAUUGGGCGUAAAGCGUCCGA